CCUACGGGAGGCUGCAGUGAGGAAUAUUGGUCAAUGGACGAGAGUCUGAACCAGCCAAGUAGCGUGAGGGAUGAAGGUUCUAUGGAUUGUAAACCUCUUUUAUACGGGAAUAAAGUGUUGCACGUGUCCUGUUUUGUAUGUACCGUAUGAAUAAGGAUCGGCUAAUUCCGUGCCAGCAGCCGCGGUAAUACGGAGGCUCCGUGCGUUAUCCGGAUUUAUUGGGUUUAAAGGGCGCGUAGGCGGCGUUUUAAGCGAGCGGUGAACGUUUGUGGCUCAACCAUGACAUUGCGGUUGAAACUGGGAGACUUGAGUGUGUGUGAGGCAGGCGGAAUGCGUGGUGUAGCGGUGAAAUGCUUAGAUAUCACGAAGAACCCCGAUUGCGAAGGCAGCCUGCCGAGCCAUGACUGACGCUGAGGCACGAAAGCGUGGGGAUCGAACAGGAUUAGAUACCCGUGUAGUC
RNAcentral lists this ribosomal RNA (460 nucleotides) under uncultured bacterium. RNAcentral's name for it is "partial 16S ribosomal RNA". It matches the Rfam family "Bacterial small subunit ribosomal RNA", at positions 338 to 795 of the family's 1533-position model. The record is from RNAcentral.